AUUGAACGCUGGCGGCAGGCUUAACACAUGCAAGUCGAGCGGGGGAAGGUAGCUUGCUACCGGACCUAGCGGCGGACGGGUGAGUAAUGCUUAGGAAUCUGCCUAUUAGUGGGGGACGACAUCUCGAAAGGGAUGCUAAUACCGCAUACGUCCUACGGGAGAAAGCAGGGGAUCUUCGGACCUUGCGCUAAUAGAUGAGCCUAAGUCGGAUUAGCUAGUUGGUGGGGUAAAGGCCUACCAAGGCGACGAUCUGUAGCGGGUCUGAGAGGAUGAUCCGCCACACUGGGACUGAGACACGGCCCAGACUCCUACGGGAGGCAGCAGUGGGGAAUAUUGGACAAUGGGGGGAACCCUGAUCCAGCCAUGCCGCGUGUGUGAAGAAGGCCUUAUGGUUGUAAAGCACUUUAAGCGAGGAGGAGGCUACUCUAGUUAAUACCUAGGGAUAGUGGACGUUACUCGCAGAAUAAGCACCGGCUAACUCUGUGCCAGUCGCCGCCGUAA
RNAcentral lists this ribosomal RNA (501 nucleotides) under uncultured bacterium. Its description in RNAcentral is "partial 16S ribosomal RNA". It matches the Rfam family "Bacterial small subunit ribosomal RNA", at positions 30 to 523 of the family's 1533-position model. The record is from RNAcentral.